UACGUAGGGUGCAAGCGUUGUCCGGAAUUAUUGGGCGUAAAGAGCUCGUAGGCGGUUCGUCGCGUCGGCCGUGAAAACCUGCAGCUUAACUGUGGGCUUGCGGUCGAUACGGGCAUCACUGGAGUUCGGCAGGGAGACUGGAAUUCCUGGUGUAGCGGUGGAAUGCGCAGAUAUCAGGAGGAACACCGAUGGCGAAGGCAGAUCUCUGGGCCGUAACUGACGCUGAGGAGCGAAAGCAUGGGGAGCGAACCGG
Molecule: ribosomal RNA, 253 nt
Filed under: uncultured bacterium
Lineage: Bacteria
Description: partial 16S ribosomal RNA
Rfam family: Bacterial small subunit ribosomal RNA
Source: RNAcentral